RNAcentral lists this ribosomal RNA (468 nucleotides) under uncultured bacterium. RNAcentral describes it as "partial 16S ribosomal RNA". It matches the Rfam family "Bacterial small subunit ribosomal RNA", at positions 28 to 507 of the family's 1533-position model. The record is from RNAcentral.
GACGAACGCUGGCGGCGUGCCUAACACAUGCAAGUCGAACGGAAAGGCCCUGCUUUUGUGGGGUGCUCGAGUGGCGAACGGGUGAGUAACACGUGAGUAACCUGCCCUUGACUUUGGGAUAACUUCAGGAAACUGGGGCUAAUACCGGAUAGGAGCUCCUGCUGCAUGGUGGGGGUUGGAAAGUUUCGGCGGUUGGGGAUGGACUCGCGGCUUAUCAGCUUGUUGGUGGGGUAGUGGCUUACCAAGGCUUUGACGGGUAGCCGGCCUGAGAGGGUGACCGGCCACAUUGGGACUGAGAUACGGCCCAGACUCCUACGGGAGGCAGCAGUGGGGAAUAUUGCACAAUGGGCGGAAGCCUGAUGCAGCAACGCCGCGUGCGGGAUGACGGCCUUCGGGUUGUUAACCGCUUUCGCCUGUGACGAAGCGUGAGUGACGGUAAUGGGUAAAGAAGCACCGGCUAACUACGUG